This 729-nucleotide ribosomal RNA is filed under the name uncultured beta proteobacterium. RNAcentral describes it as "bacterial SSU rRNA". It matches the Rfam family "Bacterial small subunit ribosomal RNA", at positions 8 to 733 of the family's 1533-position model. Lineage: Bacteria; Pseudomonadati; Pseudomonadota; Betaproteobacteria. The record is from RNAcentral.
AGAGUUUGAUCCUGGCUCAGAUUGAACGCUGGCGGCAUGCUUUACACAUGCAAGUCGAACGGUAACAGGUCUUCGGAUGCUGACGAGUGGCGAACGGGUGAGUAAUGCAUCGGAACGUGCCCAGUCGUGGGGGAUAACGCAGCGAAAGCUGUGCUAAUACCGCAUACGAUCUAUGGAUGAAAGCGGGGGACCGUAAGGCCUCGCGCGAUUGGAGCGGCCGAUGUCAGAUUAGCUAGUUGGUGGGGUAAAGGCCCACCAAGGCGACGAUCUGUAGCUGGUCUGAGAGGACGACCAGCCACACUGGGACUGAGACACGGCCCAGACUCCUACGGGAGGCAGCAGUGGGGAAUUUUGGACAAUGGGCGCAAGCCUGAUCCAGCAAUGCCGCGUGCAGGAAGAAGGCCUUCGGGUUGUAAACUGCUUUUGUACGGAACGAAAAGGUUCGGGUUAAUACCCUGGGCUCAUGACGGUACCGUAAGAAUAAGCACCGGCUAACUACGUGCCAGCAGCCGCGGUAAUACGUAGGGUGCAAGCGUUAAUCGGAAUUACUGGGCGUAAAGCGUGCGCAGGCGGUUUUGUAAGACAGGCGUGAAAUCCCCGGGCUCAACCUGGGAAUGGCGCUUGUGACUGCAAAGCUGGAGUGCGGCAGAGGGGGAUGGAAUUCCGCGUGUAGCAGUGAAAUGCGUAGAUAUGCGGAGGGAACACCAAUGGCGAAGGCAAUCCCCUGGG